CCAGGUCUAUUUUUAUGGCUUUAUGGGAUGGGACUGCUGUUAAAAGUGGGUGUACUCUCAGAGGCGGCUCUGAUCAUUGUAGUUAAACAUAGAUAGAUGAAAAGGCAUGCUCGGUUGCUUUUAAUACAUGGUUCAGGUAACGAUCAUAUGAAUUUAUAGAAGAAUCAUUUCGGUUUCAAGUCAGGAUGCCAUCAGGUAAUUGCAGCAAAUUUCUGCAAGAAUCACUUGAAUGGGUCUCUUUUAUAAAUUACGUAACGCUAUACAGGAAGGAAGGAUGUCUACCGUAGCGUUACAUGAUGUAACAGAUAUAUCGGUUCCCGGUCUGCUUUGCUCACUGCCCCAUGGAUUGAUAUUCAUGAAUCGUUAUGGUCGCCGUUUACGUUGUGGCCAGCAAAAAACACCCGUAGAAUGCCGGCAGGUUACUCGGAAACCGGUGUUUGGAAGACAAAGUGAUAAAUGAACCACUAGGGAGUUUUUCUUCCCUUCUGUUUGUGCUGCUUCAAUUUCAAUUACCACGCGCGACUUUGUUAUCUCGUCGACUUAGAGACGAACCAGCCAAGGGCUGAAAGUCUCUCUAAUAAAGACAAAUCAAUCAAACAAUCUCGUCGACUUGCAUGGCUCACGGAGGGAUACAAGGAAGAUACUCCGAUAUACAAAAGCUACGGCGAGGAGUGGGCAUCAAGGAUAUUUUCGAUCACCUGGCAAUCGUUUGAGCCAUUUGUCUAGAACUCACUUCAGAGGCCUAAUAAAGGGUGAUACGGUCAAAAUUUGGUCACACAAUUUUUUUCAUAACUUUAGACUGCGUACACCAAAACAGCUGAUUUUUGGACCAGUAAUGCUAUAUUAUAUGUAGCUUAUACCAUAAAAUUUUCAUCAAAAUCGAUUAAGUAUUGGUUGAUAUAUAAAUAAAACCAUUGACCUACCUUUUGAAAAUUUUGUACAAAGGCGUUCCAUAGUAAAUUUUCGGAAAUUCAAGGUCAGUAAAGCACAAUUUUGAUUAUAAAACUACCAAUACUGCUCCGAUUUUUAUCAAAAUUUUACAGUAUAACACUAUUAUGAAAAUAUGUUCUUAGUAAAAUUUUGAGCCAUUUUGUAUGAAUACUUCCAAAGUUGUAGCAGUUUGAAUAUGAAAAAACUGACCGGGUGCCACUUAAGCCAAUAUAACUUUGUAACGGCUGGAUUAAAUUGAAUGAAAUUUUUACACCACAUUUUGAUAUGCAUACUUCACAUACAGAAAAAUUUUCAUUGAAAUCGGUUAUGUACCUCUGGCUCUAUAAAUAAAACAGUAAAAAUGUGUUCUUAUUUGUGCACAAAAUUUUAAAAUUACAGAUCUCAGGGUUCAACAAUAUCUCCGCAAAUACUAGACCGAUUUUGAUGAAAAUUUUAUGGUACAAGCUACAUAUGAUGUACCAUUACUGAUCCAAAAAUCAGCUGUUUUGGUGUAGGCAGUCUAAAGUUGUGAAAAAAAAUGUGUGACCAAAAUUUGACUUGACAAAACUUAACAAAAUUUGACCACAUAAACAAAUAUAACUUUGUAACGGCUGGAUCAAAUUGAAUGAAAUUUUUACACAACAUUUUGAUAUGUAUACUUUACAUACAGGAAAAUUUUCAUUGAAAUUGGUUCAGUAUUUCUGGCUCUAUAAAUAAAAGAAUAAAAAUGCGUUCUUAUUUUUUAAUCCUCUUUGUACAAAAUUUUAAAAUUGCAGUUUUCAGGAUUCACAAUAUCUCCGCAAAUACUAAACCGAUUUUGAUGAAAAUUUUGUGGUACAAGCUACAUAUAAUGUACCAUUACUGGUUCAAAAAUCAGCUGUUUCGGUGUACGCAGUCUCAAGUUAUGAAACAAAUUAAGUGACCAAAUUUUGACCGUAUCACCCUUUAUUAUGUAGAAUGUGAUGUUCGGCAAACUUGUAGAUUAGUGUUUUUUUCUACAAUUAUCGCUAAGGACGCCAUAUUCUAACUCUAGGGGCAUGAAAGUGUUACUAAACGAUCGGAUUGUUCGAUCGUUUAGUAUGAGUAGGUAAUUAUAGUGCUCUCACGCCGACUAUAUGAGAGUAAGAACAUGGCGUCCUUGGGGCCCAUAUAGCCGAGGCGGUAAACGCACGGGUAUUCAGCAUGACCAUGCUGAGGGUGACGGGUUCGAUUCCCGGUCGGUCCAGGAUCUUUUCGUAAAGGAAAUUUCCUUGACUUCCUUCACUGACAAAAUUCCAAUAUUUUUUUAUAUGUGCCAAAACACAUAACAUUUUAAAGCACAAUACAAAUUAAUAUCAUAAUAUAACGUCAUAACACAUAUGAUGAUUGCUUUUAUGAUUUAUGUGUGAAGACCACAUAGUAAAAAUCUAUAAAGUUUCACACAUAAAUAAUAUAUAGGAAAUGAACUCGUGAACAACAACGAUGACGGCGGCAACAUCAGCAGCAGCAGCAGCUCGGAGUCUUGCUCGGAACUACCAUUUUGAAGGCAGUGAAAAACGGGUUGAGAUGUUUCCCGAUUUGUUCCAAGUGGUGUUGGCGAUUACAAAUAAAGCACCCUAACAUGAUCGACAUUAGGCUUUCUCCAUAAUGAUUUCCAUCAUAUCCGCGGAUGCUUGAUCCAGGAAUGGCAGCAGUGAAAAAUCGUCGGUUAACUGUCGGAUGGUGUGUAUGAUGACGAGAUCGGAGGAGAUAACGGAUCAGGAUCUGGAUCAGGACGAAAUUACGGACGGAAUCAUGCUGCCAAUGGGCCCGGUGGUGGAAAUGCUAUCAAAGAUCAUCGAUGGAUAUGCGUCGUUCUGCAGAUGGGAAUGGAUUAGUGACCCGGAAGGCAAAUUACGUAAUCGGAAGCAAGGCACAGCGUAUUUGCAGCUUGAUUAAAAGUGUUAUUUUUUUCUCGAGAUUUAUAGCAAUAGCUACUACCGACGGUCCGCACUUCAUGUAGAAACUUCUUUAAAUAAAUAUACAAUAUUAUCAAUAAUAUGUCAAUAAUAGUUAUUUUAUCAAUUUAUCAAUAAAGCAAAGGGAACUAACCUCCAAUUAUAAAACAAAAGAGAAGCAGUAAAAAUAAUUGGAAACACUAAUGAAAACUAUGUACGAUGGGAUCAUAACAUUCAUAUUUGAUCAUUCUGUCAUUUAUAUACUCGACACAUAAUUUUAAUAACGGUGAAGUUCAUCCUCGUAUAUGUGUCAUACAAAUAAUGUUUAUAUUUAGUUUCUAAUUGCAAAAAUCUAUAUCAGGUGACACAUAAACCCAAUAUGGAAAAUUUUCUCAGUGUUGGGCAUAGAGUAUCUUCGUGCCUGCCACACGAUAUACACAUGCAAAAUGGUCAUUGGCAGAGGAAGCUCUCAGUUAAUAACUGUGGAAGUGCUCAUAGAACACUAAGCUGAGAAGCAGGCUUUGUCCCAGUGAGGACGUUACGCCAAGAAGAGGAGAGGAACAUGGCGUCCUUGGUGAAAAUUGUAGGAAAAACACAAAUCUACAAGUUUGUCGAACAUCACGUUCUAAUAUUCGGCUUCUCAAAUGAAUUCUGGACAAAUGAGUCAAACGAUUGCCAGGUGAUCGAAAACAUCCUUCGCGGGCAUCACUAAGUGUAACACUUUUAGAUGUUCUCUCAUAGUUGUCUUGAGACAACUGUGAAAAGACGAUAUUUUUAUUAUUAUUUAUCGCAAAUUCGCUAUAAAAAUCGUAACAUACAAUUUAAUUUAAUUGUACUUAUCAAGAUAUACUUAUUGAGGUGUUCUUAUUGAGAUGAUCUUCUUAAAAGAGGUGCAAUCAAAAUAAUUUUAAAAUGCUUUCUACUACGAUGCUGUAGCUUUCAUUUGAUGCUAAGAGACCCAAAUUGGAUGAUAGAACAGGAUUUAUCCCGAGAUCAUCACAAGAGUUACCGCAGAUGUCUUGAAGGAGUUAUUCGUGGGAUGUCUACCAAAGCUCCUUGAAGGGUUUUAAGGAGAUUCACUAGUUUUCUGCAGGAAUUCCUUCCGGGAUUUUUUCCGAUGUUUCUCCUCCGAUUUCUUCAAGAGAUAUCCGAUAGCUUUCUUCUAGAGCAUGGUUUCCCAACUUUCGUUUCGCGACCCCCCAACUGCUUGCAAGCACGUUGCGAUUGUUCUACGAAAAGCGGGGUGACAACAGGUCGCGAGAGCCAAGGUUGGGAAGCGAUGUUCUAGAGCUUCUCCUUGGAUUUCUACAGAAGUUUCAGUUGGUAUAUUUCCCAAAGGUUCUCGCAGGAUUCCUUUUGAGAUUUUUGUCGGAGUUUCUCCCAGGACUUCUUUUAGAAGAUUCCUUCCGGUGUUGAUCCUGGGAUGUCUCUCAGAGUUUUUCAGAAUUUAUCCUGGACAUUGUCCUAACAUUUUUUUGGAAAGUCUGCUUUCUGUAGGAGUGUUACUGCGGGUAUUUUUCAUGGAGUUCAUCCCUUGAUUUUUUCGGUUAUUUUUCAAGGUUUUCGCUUGUAGUUCAUUAUCUUAUUUCUUGCAGUGAUCCACCUAAGAUUAUUUUCUUACAGAUUUUGGCGGGAUUAUUCUCAGAGCUCUUCCCAAAAUAUCUACCAACAAUUAUCCCGAGAUUCUAGAUGUUCCUUUUUGGGAUUUCUUUAAAACUUACUCAUGGAAUUCUUGCAAGAUUUUUUCAAAGAGAUUUUCUCGGAAUGUCUCCUGGGAUAACUUACGAGUUUUCUUGUAAGAAAUUCCAGAAAAAAUAUCUGAAACAAUUCCGAUCAAAUUUUGCAAAAAUCUCCGCAGACUUAUCGGAGAAGCUUCGAGAGGAACUUCGAAAAAAAUCCGGAGAAAAACUGGGAUAUCUCGGAAAAAAAAAUCUCAGGAGAAAAUAAUAAGGAAAUUUAAGGAGGAAUUCUGAAAACUUCUAAAAGGAAUCCCGGGAGAAAAUACGUGCGAAAUCCCGCAAGGUAAUCCACGAGAAAUAUCUAAAAACUGUCUCUGGAGGAAAUUCCUGAAAGAACUUUUGCAAACAUUUCGAGAGAAACUGUUGCAAGACUAUUCCGAAGCUACUGAGAAAAAUUCCCGGAAGAACUUACGAAUUUUUUUGGAAAGAUCUUUGGGAGGGAUCCACUGGGAAAUUCUGAAAGAAAGUCCAGGGAUACAUACUCUAGUAAAGACCCCGCAAAAACCGCGGAAAACAUGAAAUCGUGAAAUCUCUAGGAAGGUGCUGAAAGGAAACAAAUACGUAAAAACCUCUGGAUAUACUUGGGAAAAGUGAAGAAAGCCAGAGAAUAGAAAUCUUUGAUAAUUUCAAGGAAAAACUCGGCGAGAAACUGGAAAUGAGUUUAAAGGAGGAAUUCCGAAAGGAUUUGAAGGAAGAAUCAUAGAAUUUCGAAAUCCAAAUUAUAAGAAAAAAUAUAUAACCUUCUGAGUCACGGUAAAAUUAUUGUUUGAUUUCCAAUUGGGGAUCCAUUGUCAGAAUAAAUAAAUAAAUAAAUCGCAAACAGCUUUUGAAGGGUAUCUUGGUAGAAUUUUUGGAGAAUGUUUUUGCAGAACACUCGAAUAAAUCGUUAAAGAUUCCAAGAUCCUAAGAUUGAGGACAUUUCAACUGAAAUGUUAUAGGAAAAUUUCGGUUCUGUCACAUUCGCCCAAAAACCAUCCGCCCGAAUUUCAAAUGCCUGAAUGAUUAACGCCCGAAAAGAUCAUUCGCCCGAAUGUAAAAACGCUCAAAAACCAUAAUAAUCUUGAAAACACUUUUCUGAUGUUAAUUUCGCCAUUUGACUAAAUGCCAUCCGGUCGAAUCUAGUUUUGCUUAAUAAUGAUUAAACAUAAGGGGCUGUCCAUAUAUUACGUAAGGCAAUUUUUGCGAUUUUUCGAUACCCCCCUUGUAAGAUUUUUUGUAUGAAAACCCAAAUAUUUUGUAUGGCGCAUAAGAUUUUUUAAACAUUCCCCCCCAUCCCCCAUAAACCCUUACGUAAUUAAUGGACGGCCCCUAAGUCCUAUUUUCAACGGUGCUCAUGUAUACUAUUUAAAAGAAUGGUCCAAGGACCAGUUGACUCUGCCAAUUCAAUUGUCAAUUUCUUCUAAUCGCAAGCAUUUUCGACAGAGGUUUUUGCUUUCUUCGAGCACAGUCUGAUCUAAGGCUUAUGCUGUUACAGACAUUUUCGGAAAUAUAGCUGCUGAAAUUUUUAUUAGAUUUUAGCCUUUUUUUGUUUUAUUAGAUUUUACCCUUUUUUUGUUAAUAGGCUGUUCUUUUUAGUUUUUAGUUGUCCCUAAAGUUAUAAUUAAUUUGAUGUCAUUUUUAUCAGAAAUUUCCCCUUCUUACAAUCAUAAGCUGUUCUUUGAGGUCAUUGUGUCAUGGGAAACCUUGACAUUAGUCAACUUUUCAGCCUCUGGAUUCCAGACAUGGUUUGAAAAAAAAAAAAACAGCCUUUCCUGUGAUUCCCUAAGGAAUUCCUCAUAUGAUUGCUUCCGAAAUUCCGAGGUUUCUUCAGAAAUUCCUCCAGGGAUUCACUCGAGAAUUCUUUCUGUGAAUCUUUUAGGGACAACAUCCGAGAUUAUUUUAAAAUGCCUCCAAGCACUCUCCUUAGGAUUCAUCCAGAAAUUCAUUCAGGAAUUGUUCCUAGAUUCCUCUGUGAAUACCUUCAGGGAUUCGUCUAAAACUCCUGCAGGGGUUCGGGCCCAUAUAGCCGAGGCGGUAAACGCGCGGGUGUUCAGCAUGACCAUGCUGAGGGUGACGGGUUCGAUUCCCGGUCGGUCCAGGAUCUUUUCGUAAAGGAAAUUUCCUUGACUUCCUUGGGCAUAGAGUAUCUUCGUGCCUGCCACACGGUAUACACAUGCAAAAUGGUCAUUGGCAGAGGAAGCUCUCAGUUAAAAACUGUGGAAGUGCUUAUUGAACAAAGCUGAGAAGCAGGCUUUGUCCCAGGGAGGACGUUACGCCAAGAAGAGGAGAGGAGGGUUCGUCCAGGAAUUCCUCUAAAAAUACCGCUAGAGAUUCCUUUAAAAAUUCUUCCAGGUAUUCCUCCAGAGAUACCUCGAGGAAUUCUUCCAGGUAUUCUUUAAAGAAUUCUACAGGGAUUCUACCUGAUUAUUCUCCAGCGAUUCUUCAAGAAAUCCAUACAAGGAUUUCUUUAGGAACUCCUUCAGGAGCUCCUCUGAGGAUUUCUCAAGGGAUUUCUUUAGAGAUCCUUUAUGAUUCCUUUUGGGAAUCCUCUAGGAAUUGCUCUAACAAUUCCUCCAGAAACUCUUUUAUGAAUACCUGCACUGAAUUCUUUUAUGAAUACUUUCUUCUGGAGUUUCUCCAAGCAUUCCUCCAGGAUCUCCUCCAGGAUCUCCUCCAUGGAUUUCUAUAGGGAUUCAUUCAGGCCAGUGCUGCUAUUGGUCGUGACCAGAGCUGCCAGACAUACAGAUUUUCGUGUAUUAUACAGAUUUUUGACCUUCUAUACAGACAAGAUAGGGUCAUUUGGUAUUUGACCGCUAUAGAUUUGAUUAAACAUUUUACAUAAUAUUUCUUGGAAGUGCAGUUGUAAUCAUAGACAGCAUGUUGUGCUAUAUGCUACAUAUUUCCAAGAAGUAAUUUGCUGUUGGACGUGAACGUUCCUGGUGCUUUAGAUUCCGUGGGUCAAAAUUCUUAUAAGUAAGAACUGAUCUACCAUCGGGAGGAAAAAUGCUAAAUUUUUAUUAAAACUACAUAGACACAAUGUAAAAACUAUUGUUCAAGUGGGCAACAUAGCCUAUUUCAUCUAAACAUAGGUCGUUGUAGAGAUGAAAUUUGAAUAACGGGUUCAGAUUUGACAAAUAAACUGUCACGCAGCUCCAACUGACAACCCAUAAAAAAAGAAAAAAAAAAACUACGGCAAUUUCUCCAGGAAAUCAACCUCCCGGAGUUUAUACAGGCAUUUUUCCAAAUAUUCUUCCAAGGAUCCCUACAUGAAUUCCCCCUGAGAUUACUCUAGGAAUUCCUUCAAGGAUUUCUUCAGGAAUCCCCUAGGAAAUCCACCAGGGAUUCCUUCAGAAAUUUCCCUAGCAUUCUUUCAGGAUAUCAUCCAGGCAUUUUCCCAGGGAUUCCUCAAGGAAUUGAUCCAAAAAUUCCUCCAGGAAUUCCUUCGAAAAUUCAUACAGCAAUUUCUACGGGAAAUCUUGCAUUCCUUUUUGUAAAUCUUUCAAAAAUUUCUUUAGUAAUUUCUCUAGGAGUUUUUCCAGGGAAUUCUUUCAGGGUUUCCUUGAGGAAUUUAUCCAGAAUUGUUUUUUCCAGGGAUUCCUUCAAGCGAUCCUGCAGAGAUUUCUCCAUGAAUUGGCUCAAGGGAUUUCUCCACAAAUUUGACCAUCCAGAAUUCCUCCAGGAAUUUACCAGAAAUUUCUUCAGGGAUUCCUCAGAAGAUUCUUCCUGAGUUUCCUCCAAGAAUUUUUCCACGAAUUCCUCCAGAAAUUCCUCUGAGAAUCCCUAAAUCCCCUUUCUAAAGAUUCCUCAAGGAGUUCCUCUAUAUAUUCCACCAGGGGUUUCUCGAGCAAUUACUCCAGGAAUUCUCUAAAAUAUUUCUCCAGAGAUUCUACCUGAAAGUUUUCCAGCGAUUCUUCAGAAAUUUCUCCAGGGAUUCCUCCAAGAGUUCCAAGGAAUUUCUCUAAAGAUUCCUCGAGGAAUUCUAACAGUCAUGUCACCAGGUAUUCCUUCAGGAGUUCCUCUAGGGAGUUAUCUAGGGAUUUAUCCAGGCAUUCUUUCAGGAUUUGAUUCUGGGACUCCUCCAGGAAUACCUUGAAGUAUUGCACCAGGAAUUCCUGCAGAAAUGACCACAGGAAUUCUACCAGAAAUUACCCCAGGAAUUCCUGUAGAAAUUCCACCAGGAAUUCUCCAGGAAUUCCUUCAGAAAUAACUACGGCAGGAAUCAGUAAAUCAUCCCCACGGAGUUUGUACAGACAUUAUUCCAAGGAUUCCUCCAGGGAUUCCUGCACGAAUUCCUCGUCAGAUUCCGCUAGGAAUUCUUUCAAGGAUUUCUUCGGAAAUCCCCAGAAAGAGCUCCAGGGUUUCCUUCAGAUAUUCCCCCAUGAAUUAUUCCUCCAGGCACUCCUCCAGGACUUCAUUCAGCCAUUUCCCAAGGGACUUAUCCAGGAAUGCCACCAAGUAAACCCCCAGGAAUGUCUCCAAGAAUUUCUCAGGAAUUGAUCCAGAAAUUCCUCCUGGAAUUCCUUCGGAAAUUCCUACAGCAAUUUAUCCAGAAAUUUCUUUAGGAAAUCCUCCAGGGAUUAAGCUUGAAAAUUUUGAAAUUCUUUCAAGAAUUUCUUUAGUUUAUUCUUCUAGGAGUUUUUACUUUAAGCUAAUUUUAGAGGGAUACAGGAGUCAGGAAAUUCUAAAAGAAGUCAUCCAGGAACUUUUCCACAAUUAUCUCCGAGUAAUCUUUAAGGAGUUUAUCCACAGAUGAGGUUCAGGAAUCAGGUAUUUAGGAGUCCAUCCAUGAAUUCCUUCGAAAAUACCUUCUGCCGCUUCUGCAAAGGAGUUUCUUUGAAAUGUAUCCCGUUAUUCUUCUACAGUCACUGUGACUUAGUUUAAACAUAUACGUACUUACACGCUAGAAGCGCUAUCAGACAUUUCUGCUGGAAUUUUUCAGGAAUUCACCUCUCUUCAGACUCUUUGGGAAUUCUCUCUGGGUUCCCUCUCGAAAUUUCUCUAGAAAAUGCACCCCGAACUCCUCUAGAAAUUGCUUUUUGAAUUCCUCCAGAUUUUUUUUUAAUUCAUCACAGCUAUUCGUCCAGGAAUUCCUCCAGAGGAAUGCAAGGGAUUUUCCAAGAAUUCCAUCAUUCUCCGAAAAUAUUCCUGAAAUAAUUCUUCAAGAAUUUCUUCAGGGAUUUUCUUCAGAAAUUCUUACAAGGACUCCUCGAGGGUUUCCUCCAGUGAUAGUUUCAAGGCUUUUACAUUUUUAAAGGUUAUGUUCUGAGAUGAGUUAUAGGGAGUAUAUAAAACUGUUCCUAAAAAAAUCCGGCAAGGGUGUAGUGAAUAGAAUAAUACAAUACAACAAUACAACUAAAGGUAUAUUAUUAGAGGAAUAGAAAUCCAGGCUAUUUCAAGGUUGCUAAUAAGCUUACACACUUAGCUUUGGCUGUGCGAAUCUCGGUUUCUGAAUUUUAACCGAGAUUCAGCUAACAAAGUGACAGGUUGCUGGGCAACAAGGCAUGUUAUACUGGUUCUUGGCAUUUAUUAGCUAAGAUCUCAUGAAAACAUUUUACUGACAACUCGGCUGUACAAAUUUCGGCAUUGUUAAACCAAGAUUCGGCAUUUAAAAUUCAGUUUGUAGACAAAUGGGAUGAUUAAUUACUGAAAAACUUCAGUUAGUCAUAAAAGACAUUAUGUAGACAUUUAAAAAAAAUCUAGGUACGGGCUUCCAUUGUGUUCUACUGGGAAAAAUUUUGAAGGAAAUCAUUCCUUAACAUAACUUUAAUUCCACAAGGAAGCACUUGACAAUAUUUUGCAGUUAUGCUACUAAAAAUUCAGAGGCUCUUUGGGAUACCCAUCAAAGAAUUCCUUUGAAUGCUUUUAUUUCGAUUUCUUUUUUCGGUGAUUUAAAAAAAAUAAUUCUGGUUAUAUCAUAUUUCCAAACAAAACUAAGAGAAUAAACCAUAUAUACCAUUUUGGACAAUGAUCUAGUAAAGUGUGACAACUGACAAGUUGAGAAUAGUCUACAAUAACUAUCAAUUUAAUUAAACACAUAUUAUUCCAAAAAAAAAUGUCUAGUACAAAUCUAUGUUUGUCAUUUAGACAGUGGAUUACAGAUUUAUUUUUAUUUCCAUAUAUAAAGUCAUGAAAAAUUUCUGGAGGGAGCCUGGCGGAUUCUGGAGGGGCCUGCCCCCCCUGUAGCUACGCCAAUGGCUUUAUAUGAAUUUGAAUCACACAAAAGUGGUGAUCGUGGUACGGAUUUCAAAUGGUUUCCAAAUCGACACUUUUGUAACAACACCGCAUUUUUAAUAGUUAAUUUAUAUGCAAAAAUAAAAGUUUCACCAAUAGCGCUGAAAUUUUGCACAUGUGUUGGGACCUGAAUGGAAUCCAAAGAGUCGAUUUUUUUCAUGCAAGCGUGUCCCAUGCUAAUGGACAGUCACUGCGUCGGCUUCAAUUAGGUGAAUAAUAAAUUGAGUGAAGCAUGUUAAUUUGGAGAUCGUUGACCGAGGUCAUACUGUUCUGGCGAUGUACACAUAUGUAUACUGAGCCUAGCCUUGAACCAGCCUGCCGAAAACGUUUAUCUCAAAGAGCUUAGAUUUGAACUUUUUUUUUCUGUCUGCUGUCUUUUUAACAUUGCACCAGAAAAACACGACAGUUUCCACCACUCCGGAAGUAUUUUGUAAACAAAGAUAUGUGAAAUACUGUAACCCACAUUGCAUUAUUGCUUUAAAUUAGAGAAGGAACACCGUCUGGGCCAGAAAUGCUGGAGGAUUGCAGCUUAUUCCCGGCCGAAGUAAUCAUGUCGUCGGUUACAGACAGUAAAAUGCUACAAACUCUCGGGCAAACGAGAGAAACAUCUGCGUAAGGGUGGUAGCGAAGACGGCUAAUAACAAGACAGACAUCUACCCUCUUGCUACAUAUACUUUGGCAGCUAGAAGCACACUAGCGCCACGAACGACUUCAAGGAACAACAUCAUGAAUGAGUGUGCAUGCGAUGUUACCAUUUCCGUGUACGUAUUUGCAUGUACACUAGAGUGGGUGAACGUUGUAUGGAGAAACUUUAAAUUUGAUCGUAUCAACCCGGAACAAAGUUUUUUCAACCUAUGUUAGCGUCCAAAACAACUGUGCAAAAUUUGGGAGCGGUUGGUUACGUCCCCGUAUUCCGCAUUGCGAUUGAAAUUUGCAUGGAAGUUAGUAUGGGAAAACGUACUUUUUUGCAUUUUACUCAUAAAUUGAAUUCUUUUGUCUAAUACCAUGUAACUGAUGGCGUUAAAGUAUAGCCUAGGAUAUGCCGAAAAACUUUGCCGAAGACCGCAAAGUGAUCCGAUGCUUGUGCAAAAAGGUUAUUCGCCUGGUAACUUAGGCCAAAAAUUGAGAUUUUAUUAUUGACGUUAUUCCUUUACAUGUUAAAUGUUAAGCACCACUGGGCAAUCUGUACGUUAUAACUUUUUUCACAAGUGUCGGAUCACUUUGCGGUCUUCGGCAAAGUUUUUCGGCAUAUCCUAGGCUAUACUUUAGCGUCAUUGGUUAGAUCGUUUUAGACGAAAAAUUUCAAUUUAUGUGAAAAAUACAAAAAAAAACACGUUUGAAUCGAAAAAGCUUUGUUCCGAAAAAUCGAGUUUGUUGACCCAGUCUAAACGCACACAAUCAUGUCUUAAUGUUCCUGUGAAUCGUUGAGGGCGUUUCGACCAUGUCGCCUGAAACAUGUUGGGAGCUCACUGUCUUGUUAUUAGCCGUCUUCGGUGGUAGGUAAUAUCUUGUGGACUAAGUUGUUCGUCAGUGAAAACGUUACUGAAUUUGGUGCGGAACCGGUUUGCUUGUUUCUGCUGAUGUGGAGUCAGCAUCUAUUUCACCAUCGGUUAUAGUAGUGGAUGGCAAUCCGGUUUCCUGUUUUUGAUUGUUUACGUACAGCCAGACAUUUUUUUUCUGAAUUAUUCCAGCCCCCUCACUUUACAGACAGCCUUGUUGAGCCUUAAACAUACGUCAUACGAUUCAGCCAAAUGCAGAUAAAUCUGGAUUAGAGAGAAAUGUAUCAUUCAUGUUUAUUUGUUAUGGGAAAGUGUCAAUUUGAUUUUUCUUUUGUGAGCAGAGUAGAGAUUCCACACGAUCAAAAUCAAACCCCUCUAGAUUAGUUUGAUUUUGAUCGUGUGGAAGAAUGAUCUCAACAGUUGUCAAAUCACCACAUCUUGGCAAGACAAUGUUUACCGAACCGGCUAGUUAUUUACAAAAGCAAGUUUGGCAAAUAAUAAAUCGAUCUUAGCUCAUAGAUUUACUCAUCUAUCGAGUUGGAAAAGCCAAAUGUAUGUAUUCCUCAUUUCAAGACACAUAUAUCGCCAUGCGGUAACAAAUCAAACAUCAAUUAUCAAUGUGUUAGUCAAUUGUUGUCCAAAAAUUUUACCUCUCCUUUCAUGGCGUAGGUUCAUCUUCCUUUUUAUGUCUUUCGUCUAUAGACAGAUGACCGACGACAUCUAGAGAUGUUCGUCCAUUCACGACUACAAAGGUUGAUGAGCCGGGAAACACUCUUUCUUCCUACGGGGUUUCUUAUGGGCGUAUGAGUGGAAAAAAUAAAAAAAAUCUCCCCUCCUUUACUUUCGCACAGAAAACCGCAAGCAAAAUCAUCAUCAUCGUAGUCCCCAAUUAUAUAUUUGGCUCAUUCAGGUACAUCCUUGACAUUAGAGCAUCUUCAUAGGGGCGUUUGAAAAUGCAUAUUGGGCUUCUAGAUUUAUAAAUUCGAAAAAAUGAGAAAUUUGGAAAAAACCCUCUGACCCCUUCUAUCACAGGUUUGAGCUCGGGAAAAACCAUUCAAUCGACUCAUCAAUCAAUUUUCCCGAAAAGUGCGCUGGAAUCGGCUUUGAAAAUAAAACUAGAACUGGAACAUUACUGGAGAUGCCCUAAAACUAUAGCAUUAUACAUCGAUGCAUCUUUACCUGAUGAAUAUAUUUUACGACCCCACAGGAAGAUUGCCACUAAACUUAUGUCUAUGUAGAAGUUGUGAAGAUCGAGUCAACACGUUUUUCUACGUGAUUUUUGUUUUCAAAGCGUUAUAAAUGUUACCACAUUCUAUUAUUCUUAUCAAGUUUAUUAGGAAUAUUUUCAGCCCGAAGCUGAUUGAUCUCCAAUGAUGUUCUAUUAGAAAUCAAGGGUUUUAUGAAGCUUCAUGAUGGAAUACAGUAAACUAUUACGACGCUAAUUUCAAAUUCUUAGUAAAAAUUACUUAUUUUUUCAAUAGUUAUUAAGAGGAAACAAACCAUCAUCGUUAAGCAAAAAAUCAAAAGCAGUUUUCUCGCUGAAAUCUCAACCAAUGUUGAUAAAAAUUUAUCACUGCACUCUGACGACCAUCUGGAUAACAGUGAAAUAAUUUUCUAUGACGGUUUUGUGACUUAGAGGAAGAAAACUGCUUUUGAAAAAUUGAUGAUUGCUGAUGACUGAAUGAUGGUUAUUUGAGCCUUAACAGAUACUUCCAACUUGACGUAAGACUGUUAAUCCUCACUAAAUUGAAAACUUAUUUACCAGUCGAAACGGGUUUCCCAACAAUAUAAAGUACUACAUAACAAUUCCACGUCAUUGCAUUUGCAUAUGUUGCAAUUGUAGCAAUUGUUACACAAUCAUCUUAUAUAAUCAAGAUUUCACAACUUUAUGAAAUUCCUGCGGUGAUGUGGCAAGAAACGUGGCCACGAGUUUCAUCCAAAUGGGCAAUUGAAAUCAUCUUGAUCAUCCCUAUGCAGCUGUGGCGAAAUGCAAACUCGAUGGAAAUAUACAAACAGAUGAAACAUUUGAAAAGGCCAACAGACACAUAUUGGCACAUUUUUUUUUCUUGGAUAAAACGAACACAUUUACUGUCCAGCGCGGGAAGCCCUUUUCUGUUGUUUGGAUUUAUAAUUGUAGUCCAGUGGCGUCUCGUAACCUCACUUUUUACCUUUUCAAUGACCCUUAAACUUACAAUUGCAGACAAUUUAGAAUCAAAAUCGAAUCGGAAAUGAGUGUGAGCAGUAAAUUUCAUCAUUAUUUACUAAUUUGUUCAUAAAAUUUAAGAGUUCAUAGUUUUUGGACAGGUAGGUUUGAGGUUAGGGGAACGCCACUGUUGUAGUCUACAAUAUAAAUCGAAGGUUAUGAACUUCUGUGAACAUUUGAAUAGUAUUGGCGUUUCAGUCUUUUCGGGGUCAAAAACAACUAAGUUUUCUUCUUCCAACGAAACGCCAAAACUAUUCGAAAGUCUUCAAAACAGUCGUCGUCAAUAUAGUGAACUUCUGUGAACAUUCACAAUCAAGAGCUGAUUCUAAAACCAUGCUCCCAAAAUUUUAGGUUUAAGAAAAAUUUUAGUAUUUAGAAAAAUAAUAAAAUCACAACAUCUUGCCUGCUCUAAAACCAAUAAGUCUUGUUAUUGACGAGUUUAUAAAUCAAUUUUCUUAAAUUUUUCAAAAUUUUGAAAAUAGUAUGGGAAAAAUUGUAAAAAUGUUAUCAAUUUGUGUUUUUUAAUAAUAUGUGAGGAGCCAGAUGCAAAAGGAGUAUAACCUUUUGGUCGAGAUUGAAAAAAAAAACAAUUCUUCGGAUUUCAAGCUUUUUAAAACUGUUUUAAAAUUGUUUUUCUAAAUUCAUACGAAACACUAUAUACAUGUUGUAUGGGAUGACAAUUUUUUUAAACCUCGAGCCUCAUUUACUCAAAUGUGGGAUUUUAUUAGUUUUACUUUUUUGCUUCUAACGCCCUCAUGUAUACCAAUAUAAUGCUGAAAAGUUUGAAACCUUUUUUUGAAUAAAACAUUUUGACUUCCAUAAAUAAAUUAAAUCCGUUGCAGUCUGAGCUUUUGCAUUCGAGAGAUUCAAACAAAAACUACCACAGUAAAAAGCCAUAAACCCAUUUCAAAUGUUGAUCCCUCUACCAAUACUUUUUUAAGAUAAGAGGUAGCGUAUAAAGUUACGACCACACCGGAACCAUUUCAGUUCAGUUCGGAAUGUGGUGCGAUCACGUUGUGUUAGGAGUUCGGUGAACUCACGUGCUUUCCAAGAGUUUGGAAACUCAACGUGGAAAAUAAUCGUGGCGACCGAAUGUCGCUAAUCGCACGAGCAAUGUGUGGGAUAGGAUAAUGCUCCGCACAUCUGCGGAUGCUGACCCUAAUUUUUAGCUUCUGAAUAAGAGGUGGAAUAGUACAGCACUCGAUUGAAGGUGUGCUGGCUGAGAGUGGUACGCCAGUUCGGGAUAGUCUAAAAGAAUUUGCAGCAGCAUCAGUAUCUGAAUGUUAUUGAAAGGGAAAGUUUACUAUAUCGUUUGGAAUAGGUACAGGAAAGGCAACAGUUUAGUUUAUCUACCUAGCUUAGUGAUUCUUGAAUCUCCCAUCGAAUGUGUGUACAGUACACUGUGAAAAAAAGUUAUAUAAAUUUCACCGGAAAAGAUCAAGUAAACAUCGAAGUUAGACAUUUCUAGUUAUCAAUGUGAUUCUAGCUAAUCAAGCUUGAAAUAGUGAAAACUCGUAAGAAAAAAAAAAAAGAAUUUCACGCGAAGAGAAAACCAAAUAGUUUGGUACAUGAAUUUUGUUGAUCUUUAAAGUAUGAUGCUUUUGGAUUUCUUUUUGAGACAAUAGUAGUAGUCACAUAAAAAAAAUCGCUCUGGUUUUUAGGCGAAACCUCAUUGGAUUCAAUGUUCAAAUCACAUAAAAUUUACAUGUUAAACUAGGUUAUAAAAUGUUCUCAAGGAUGCCAGUGAGUUAUGAGCUAGGUUUUAUCUCAGUGUAGUUCAAAUCAAACAUCUGGACACAAGAUUUGCCAUUACAUACACUUAUACAUAUUUCGCACUGUAGCGUUGUAUGAGUAAAUCUACCGGCAACACCUUCAACUCGAUUUUGGAUUGAGGUGUUAUAAAAAUAUCUUUUUUUUUACUAUCACCUGUCGAAUUUAGCCACUCAAUCGGCCACGUUUAUAUCAAAACGGUAAUAAUCGGUUGAGACGUCUUUUUGAAGUCGCACACCUUUGCCAAAGCUAGCCGGCAAAACUAUCAGAUAAACGUGUUUCCACAUGGGUAGACGUUGACUGGAAAUUUUGUUCCAUUCCAUGUGCACGUGUCUAGCGAUUCAAUGCAUGAGCCGAAUGUGGAACUUAGGUACUGAUAGAUACGUUGCAGUCUUAUCUCUGCAUUUUUGAGUUCGACAUAGAUAACAGGUAAAGGUAUUUGCUGUCAUGUAGACGCCAGGUGGAAAAUUUUAAAUUCCAUAUGUUCGUGAAGUGAUCAAUCAAUGUUUUAGGUGAAGUUGGCACGUGUUAAUUUUUAUAAUUUUAUCUUUGUAUUAUGGCAUUGAGAAACGUUUCCAUACUUUGUCAAUGCCUGUUAGAAAUCCUGAUUGUUUUUUUAUUUCAAUGUUCGCACAGUUCAUGGAGCAAACUAAGUAGUGACGUCAAAAUUCAAUAUUUAAAACUACAAUAAAAUCAUGAUACAUCCAGUACUAUUACGGAUAUGUGGCCGUCAAAACUGUUGCACAGUGGAAGGUGUUUUCAAUUACUUGAAAGCUUCCAUUGUUGGGAGGGAAUUGAUUGUUGUUGAGUUACAUCAGCCUAGUGCUGAAAAUUUUUACAAUAAAGAAAUGAUGAGUGAAUAAUGCAAAAUUUAACUGAGUUUGAGUGCACUGCUCCUCAGAUAUGCCGCAAAAUGUUUUGAAUUGAGUAACUACCCCGAUAAAUUCUGAUGGUUCACUUCUGGUUUUACAAUCAAAUCAGUGGCGUCUCGUAACCUCACUUUUUACCUGUUCAAAUACCCUAAAAAUUGCAUUUGCGGAGAAUUCAGGAUCAGAAUUGAAUUGCAAAUGGAGGAAAACAACUAUUCUCGUCAUUUUCUUCAAACUACAAGCCGAUUUGUUGAGAAAAUCCAAGUAUUUACAUUCGUUGAACAGGUAGAUUUGAGGUUAGGGAAUCGCCACUGAAUCAAAUGUUGCCAUGAAUGCUAUGAUGAGGUUCAUGGAACCAGAUAGUUUUGGUAAAUCGAAAGCUAUGUAAAAAAAACAAACCAAAAUGUUAGAGCAUUCCAUGCGAUGCUAAACAAGUUGAUUGCCGUCUCCAUAGAUGUUUUAGGCAAACAAAAAUGCGAAACAUUCUACCAUAAAGAUACAGCCAUGUAAUUUCUAUUAUUCGCUCAAAGAGCUAAAAAUCUUGCAUGCCAAAUGAAGUGGUGUCCUAAGGUCCAAGGAAAACCACAUGUGUACGGGCUCGAUCGAGUGACCUAAUGCUGUAAGUCCUGGCUAACAGCCAAACCACUACUAAGCUCGAUUGAGUCCAUAUGUACACCGGUUUUCCUUGGUUUUCUGUCCACGCUGAAAUAUUGCUUUCUAUGUCUGAAAUGGUGCCUGUCACGGUCGCCAUGUGUUGUGUUUCAAGCAACAACGAACUGUUUACGACCAACCAAAUGGACAGCUCCAUUUGUGUUUUUUUUGACUUGUCUUUCGUCCAAAAAAUUCAGUUGAUUCUACUGAUUUCGGCUGACUACAGUGUUUCCAGCCACUGUUGUUGCUGAAUCUUGGCUAAUCCACCACUGUAAUUGCUAUUGCAACAACGCGGCAUUUGUCGAUGGAAUAUUUGUCAAUUAACAUCUUGACAAUCAUGGUUCUUCGGGGAUUACUGUGCACUUCAAGCCGGGCAGUUUCAACUAUUGCCGAUCAUUAUGGCCGAAAUGUUCGAUUUGAGUUGCAUAGUAAUCCCUUUCAAUAACCACAAUGUUCAAUUUCUACACACAGUUGUGUUUUCGGAUAUCGCUGUGUUCAUGAGUCUUGUCAUGAAACUGAUUCUGAACAAACCACCACUGUAACUGCUAUUGCAACAUCUUUGUCAUUUCGUAGUCUGCUAAAUAUUUUCAAUUACCAUCUUGUAAUUCGGGGUUAUUCGGGGUAUGUUGUGCAAUCCGAGCUGGACAGUUUCAACUAUUGCCGAUCCAUAUGGCAUAUUUUUAACAAUGCGUUAUUUACUACAACAAACUCGUACAAGUUUCCUGUAUGAAACAUUCCGAUUGGGAAUUAUACAUUUUUUUGUUAUGAUGAGGUUCAUGGAGCCCUGGAAACUUGGAACUACUACGAAUAAUGCUAUCAAACGAGAGAGUUUUAGAAAAUAGCAGGGCCAUCCAUUUACCUAUCGAAAACUAUUUAAAAAAAAGCAAACCAAAAAUGUUAGAGCAUUACAUGAGAUAAUACAAAAGUUAUUAGCAGUCACCAUAGAUGUUUUGGGCAAACAAAAAUGAGGAACAUUUUGCCAUAAAAGUACAACCAUGUAAUUUCUAUUAAUCGCCCGAAGAGCUAAAAAUUCUUGCAUGCCAAAUAAAGUGGUGUCUAUAGGUCCAAGGAAAACCCCCUUGUAUACGGGCUCAAUCAAGUAACUUCAUGCUAAUAGAUAAGCCACAACCACAAGCUCGAUUGAGUCCACGUACACUGCCGGUUUUCCUUGGGUUUCUUUCUCUCUAAGCUGAAAGAUUGCUUUCUAUGUCUGAAAUGGUGUCCGUCACGGUCGCCAUGUGUUGUAUUUCAUGCAACAAUCUAAAUGUUUACAGAAAACCAACGAACAGCUUCGUUUGAGCUUUUUCUGGGACGCGCGUUAAGUCUUUUUGUUUGCAAAUGAUGGUUCCAGUCUUUGGGCAAUCAUCGUGGCAACCACUAUUGAUUCAUCACUGUAAUUGCUAUAGCAAAAAAAAAUGACUUUUCGUUGUCUGCUGAAUAUUUGUCAAUCAACAUCUUGACAAUGGUUAUUUGGGGCUUAUUGUGCAAUUCAAAGCCGGGCAGUUUCAACUAUUGCCGAUCCCUAUGGCCGAAAUGUUCGAUUUCAGUUGCACAAUAAACCUCCUUCAAUAACCACAACGUUUCGAAACUGAUUAAAAUCCUAAUAAGACACCAAAGUAAUUGCUUUGCAACAUUUUGUUGUCUGCUAAAUAUUUAUCAAUUAACAGCUUGGUAAUGAAAAAAAAACAAAAAAAUGUUGUUAUUGGUUAUUCGGGGUUUAUUGUGCGAUUCAAACCGGACAGUUUCAACUAUUGCCGGUACUUAAUGACCAAAAUGCUCGGUUUGUUUUGCAUGAAAAACCCUUUCAAUAACCAGUCAGUCUUCAGUUUCUCCAAACUGUUUUAAUUAAGUUUCGGGUUUGAAAAUACUCGAUUUGAGUGACACGAUAGUCUCCCUUUUCAUAAUCGUUCACGGUCGCCAUGUUGUACUCUAUGGCGAUACGUCCGGUGUCACGGUCGCCAUGUAACGGCAACCAUUGAAAUUUCUCAAUAUUUUCUAUUUCCUAUUCGUAAACGUAUGAGGUUCUCGCACAGUCAAUAGACGCGGAACUACAUAUGCUCCACAUUCAGGGAAAGACUUAUUCGCGAUAGGGUGUUUUCUGUCUUAAAUUUAGUUUAGUCUAGUCUAUCCAGAACUCCUCUUUUUUUCUAAUCAUUGAGGAUACAAGCACUGCGAUUGUCUAUUGGGUGUCAUCCACUUAUUUCUGCGUACUGUUUUCGUAGUUUUCGAAAUUCCUGUAACGCAUAAGAAAUCAAAGUGGAUGAUCCCGUACAUGUUUUAGUUAAAUUCAAUAGUAAACCUUCCCAACUUCAUAACAGUAUCUAAUGUGUUGAGCUUCGACGUCCCACGUCACGGUCGCCAUGUAUUGGCAACCAUUGAAAUUUCUAAAUACUUGUUAUUACCGAUUCGUAAACUUUUGCGGUUUUUAUACAUUCAAUAAACGCGGGAAUACAUAUGCUCCACAUUCAGGGAAAGUUUUACGCUUAUCUUAGUUCUGCUUUUCUUCGAUUUUUCUGGAAAUUCUGUUCUCUCCAUCCUAACCUACAAGGACACCUGUCCUGUGGUUGUUUAUUGAGUGCCAUCCACCAAAGUUUUUCUUUCAGUUUUGCAACAUGUAAGAAAUCAAAGUGGAUGGCACCAGUUACAAUUGAUAACAAACCUCUCGAAAAUCACAGAGGCGCAUCUUAAUGCAGCAUUUAAAAACAACCACCAGAAUUUCUCAAUAUUUUCUAUUUCCUAUUCGUCGAAAUACAUAUGCUCCACAUUCAGGAAAAGGCUUACGCCAAUCUCUUGUCUGUCUUUUAAAUCUUCUAAAUCGUCUUUUAUAUGAUGUUUUGUGUUUCGUGAUUGUCUUGUAAAUUUCUUCUCUUCUUUUUCUUAGUUAACAAAGAUACGAACACUGUGAUUGUCUAUUGGGUGCCAUCUACUUAAUGUCUCAACUUUGUUAGUUCGUGGAAAGAAUAUGACCUGUAACAAUUAAAGUAGAUGGCUCCUGGGCAUGAAAAUGCAUUUCUAUUUGAGAGCCUGUUAGUUUCCAUCGUCAAUGUGUCCACAAAGAGGUUAUGCAUCAUAUUUAUUGUCAAAAAAGACACUUGUUUUUUUUUUGCAGAAGUAGGAAUUUUACAACUUCAGAUAAAGUAAUGAAAAUUCGUAAUGAAUAAUGAAUUUUCGUAACCAUAAUGAAAAAGACGAAACAAUCUUCUAUUGUUAUUUCUUUUUUCAACCGGUAAAACUCGAUGAAUUACUUUUGUGAUAAAAUCUUAUGCCUUCAGCAAGAUACUAAUCAAUGACUUGAAAAACUCUUGAAUAUAAAAAGGAAUCCUUUGUCGUUUGUUUAAUGUUUGAACUUCUGUUGAAUUAAAUAUUUGAGAGCGCAAAAAAACUUGAUGAUUAGAAAUUUCUGAAAAAAUGUAAGGAAUAAUUCAUACUAAGAAUAAAUAAUUUUAUUUAGAGAUGUGAAUCGUUUUAGAAAAAAAAACCUCAGCAUAUUUUCAAACAAAUAAAAAUUCAGAUAUGUUAACGCGUUAAUGGCUUAAAUGAAGCUUAUUGUAAACAUAAUGCAGAAUAAAUUCAAAGAUAUCAUGUACAACUUUAAACCUGGAAAGACUUUUAUCGAACCUCCAAAAUCUUAACUUUUUAUGUAUUUUUAAAGUCACUAUCAUGCUAAUUACUAUAUUGUUUGAAGUAAAAUGUUCAGUUGUUUUUUCAAAUAAGCUUAAAUUGUAGCCUUCCGUUUCGUAUUCAUAUGACUCUGUUAAAAAAUCUGGAUAAAACUGAUAGGUAUUACAGUAUAAAACUUUGAAUCAUUACAUUUAAAACAUCAUAUUUUGCAAAAAGGAAUAAUCAUUCAUUUAUAAACCUUUGUUACAUUGGGAUUAUUAUAAUUGCUUGAAACAAUAAAUUGGAAUAGCUUUAAUAAAUUGUAAAAGCUAGAAGAUAAGUUAUACAGAACAUUAUUUAUGAAGCUGCUUUGUCGUUGUACCUAUGGAAAAUCAUCGACGUCUCACAUCUCUAAAGGGAGACCUUUAAAGCAGACUAGCGAAGCCAAAGAGAAAUACGGGGACACCAUCAGUGAAAGUUUGCUACAGAAAAAGCAGUUGUAACGAUUGACGGCAGGCAGAAACUUAUCGUUUUGGCCCUUUUCCCAUAUGGUGGUCAUAUGGUUGACACUUUCUAAAAAAAGGCAACGAUUGACGCAGUCAGGUAGAAACUCAUCGGCUUACCCGUUUUUCGGUCGACACUUGGUUUAAAAAGGCACCCACAAUCCGGAAAGUAACACCAAAGCCAAAUAAGGAUUGCAGCAGCAAUGGUCUCUGACAUCCAUACAAUCGAUAUGGCACGGCUAUCAUUGCGAAAGUCACAAAAAGAAAAGCGAUGCUAAUCGCACAUACAUACAUACACAUCAUUCUUAAAACCUUCACAGAGGUAAUAUGUGUAUUAACCGUUGUAAUGCACUGGAGUCACAGUGACGUGCUGUAUUUGAAGUUACACCUAAAGAAGGUGAAGCAGUCAUGAUAUGAGUUAUGAGAGUCAAAGAAUCAUGUUUCGCGCUUGUCACUCAUCCGUUCUGUGGACGGAAAUCAUGAAAACUGAUGAAUACUCGCAGUCAAAUCGAAUGAGAGCCUCAACGCGAGGAACGGCUGUCAGCAAUUCUUUAAGAUUGUUAGCUCCUGGAAAGCACCACUGACAGUCAAAUGACCAUUUAGAAAAGACUUGUACGCAUGCAGUUCGGUAUUUCUGAGAUCGAAGCCUUGUCAGAGCAACAAAAUCCAAAUAUCAAGCUGUCGUCGCUCUACUCACACGGAAGUCAUUAUUGUCUGAAGGCUCCUCAGUUCAACUGAAGUUCGACUGCCAGCCGAAAUAUCGCCCAACUGCCUUUAAGAUUCUGAUCACUGACGUAUUUACCUUCGCCAAUGGCUUCGCUUGCUGUUUCUGUUCCCGAACCCGAUUAUACAAUGUUUCCCGUCCGGAUAUUCAGAAGUGAAGUCAUCAUCAGUUCAAUAAAAUUUUGCUCACAUACUUAA
Long non-coding RNA from Aedes albopictus (Asian tiger mosquito), 22811 nucleotides. RefSeq lists it as uncharacterized. The transcript has 3 exons. The record is from RefSeq and is a predicted model, not a curated record. NCBI's taxonomy places the organism in Eukaryota, Metazoa, Arthropoda, Insecta, Diptera, Culicidae.